RNAcentral lists this ribosomal RNA (660 nucleotides) under uncultured crenarchaeote. Its description in RNAcentral is "bacterial SSU rRNA". It matches the Rfam family "Archaeal small subunit ribosomal RNA", at positions 752 to 1412 of the family's 1478-position model. Lineage: Archaea; Thermoproteati; Thermoproteota. The record is from RNAcentral.
UGUAAACGAUGCAGACUCGGUGAUGCCCUGGCUUGUGGCCAGUGCAGUGCCGCAGGAAGCCGUUAAGUUUGCCGCCUGGGAAGUACGUACGCAAGUAUGAAACUUAAAGGAAUUGGCGGGGGAGCACCACAAGGGGUGAAGCCUGCGGUUCAAUUGGAGUCAACGCCAGAAAUCUUACCCGAAGAGACAGCAGAAUGAAGGUCAAGCUGGAGACUUUACCAGACAAGCUGAGAAGUGGUGCAUGGCCGUCGUCAGCUCGUGCCGUGAGAUGUCCUGUUAAGUCAGGUAACGAGCGAGAUCCCUGCCUCUAGUUGCCACCAUUACUCUCAGGAGUAGUGGGGCGAAUUAGCGGGACCGCCGCAGUUAAUGCGGAGGAAGGAAGGGGCCACGGCAGGUCAGUAUGCCCUGAAACUUUGGGGCCACACGCGGGCUGCAAUGGUAGCGACAAUGGGUUCCGAAUCCGAAAGGAGGAGGCAAUCCUCAAACGCUACCACAGUUAUGAUUGAGGGCUGCAACUCGCCCUCAUGAAUAUGGAAUCCCUAGUAACUGCGUGUCAUUACCGCGCAGUGAAUACGUCCCUGCUCCUUGCACACACCGCCCGUCGUUUCAUUGAAGUUUGCUUUUAGCGAGGUGAUGUCUCAUUGGCGUCAUCGAACUUGA